Molecule: ribosomal RNA, 492 nt
Filed under: uncultured bacterium
Lineage: Bacteria
Description: partial 16S ribosomal RNA
Rfam family: Bacterial small subunit ribosomal RNA
Source: RNAcentral
AGUGAACGCUGGCGGUAGGCCUAACACAUGCAAGUCGAACGGCAGCACAGUAAGAGCUUGCUCUUACGGGUGGCGAGUGGCGGACGGGUGAGGAAUACAUCGGAAUCUACUUUUUCGUGGGGGAUAACGUAGGGAAACUUACGCUAAUACCGCAUACGACCUACGGGUGAAAGCAGGGGAUCUUCGGACCUUGCGCGAUUGAAUGAGCCGAUGUCGGAUUAGCUAGUUGGCGGGGUAAAGGCCCACCAAGGCGACGAUCCGUAGCUGGUCUGAGAGGAUGAUCAGCCACACUGGAACUGAGACACGGUCCAGACUCCUGCGGGAGGCAGCAGUGGGGAAUAUUGGACAAUGGGCGCAAGCCUGAUCCAGUCAUACCGAGUGGGUGAAGAAGGCCUUCGGGUUGUAAAGCCCUUUUGUUGGGAAAGAAAAGCAGCAGGUUAAUACCCCGCUGUUCUGACGGUACCCAAAGAAUAAGCACCGGCUAACUUCGUG